RNAcentral lists this ribosomal RNA (420 nucleotides) under Escherichia coli. RNAcentral's name for it is "bacterial SSU rRNA". It matches the Rfam family "Bacterial small subunit ribosomal RNA", at positions 283 to 695 of the family's 1533-position model. The record is from RNAcentral. Lineage: Bacteria; Pseudomonadati; Pseudomonadota; Gammaproteobacteria; Enterobacterales; Enterobacteriaceae.
CUAGCUGGUCUGAGAGGAUGACCAGCCACACUGGAACUGAGACACGGUCCAGACUCCUACGGGAGGCAGCAGUGGGGAAUAUUGCACAAUGGGCGCAAGCCUGAUGCAGCCAUGCCGCGUGUAUGAAGAAGGCCUUCGGGUUGUAAAGUACUUUCAGCGGGGAGGAAGGGAGUAAAGUUAAUACCUUUGCUCAUUGACGUUACCCGCAGAAGAAGCACCGGCUAACUCCGUGCCAGCAGCCGCGGUAAUACGGAGGGUGCAAGCGUUAAUCGGAAUUACUGGGCGUAAAGCGCACGCAGGCGGUUUGUUAAGUCAGAUGUGAAAUCCCCGGGCUCAACCUGGGAACUGCAUCUGAUACUGGCAAGCUUGAGUCUCGUAGAGGGGGGUAGAAUUCCAGGUGUAGCGGUGAAAUGCGUAGAG